Molecule: ribosomal RNA, 497 nt
Filed under: uncultured bacterium
Lineage: Bacteria
Description: partial 16S ribosomal RNA
Rfam family: Bacterial small subunit ribosomal RNA
Source: RNAcentral
GAUGAACGCUGGCGGCGUGCCUAAUACAUGCAAGUCGAGCGAACAGACGAGGAGCUUGCUUCUCUGCUGUUAGCGGCGGACGGGUGAGUAACACGUGGAUAACCUACCUAUAAGACUGGGAUAACUUCGGGAAACCGGAGCUAAUACCGGAUAAUAUUUUGAACCGCAUGGUUCAAAAGUGAAAGACGGUUCUUCUGUCACUUCUAGAUGGAUCCGCGCUGCAUUAGCUAGUUGGUAAGGUAACGGCUUACCAAGGCAACGAUGCGUAGCCGACCGGAGAGGGUGAUCGGCCACACUGGAACUGAGACAGGGACCAGACUCCUACGGGAGGAAGCAGUAGGGAAUCUGCCGCAAUGGGCGAAAGCCUGACGGAGCAACGCCGCGUGAGUGAUGAAGAUCUUCGGAUCGUAAAACUCUGUUAUUAGGGAAGAACAUAUGUGUAAGUAACUAUGCACAUCUUGACGGUACCUAAUCAGAAAGCCACGGCUAACUACGUG